AUUGAACGCUGGCGGCAUGCCUUACACAUGCAAGUCGAACGGUAACAGGUCUUCGGAUGCUGACGAGUGGCGAACGGGUGAGUAAUACAUCGGAACGUGCCUAGUAGUGGGGGAUAACUACUCGAAAGAGUGGCUAAUACCGCAUGAGAUCUACGGAUGAAAGCAGGGGAUCGCAAGACCUUGUGCUACUAGAGCGGCCGAUGGCAGAUUAGGUAGUUGGUGGGAUAAAAGCUUACCAAGCCGACGAUCUGUAGCUGGUCUGAGAGGACGAUCAGCCACACUGGGACUGAGAAACGGCCCAGACUCCUACGGGAGGCAGCAGUGGGGAAUUUCGGACAAUGGGCGAAAGCCUGAUCCAGCAAUGCCGCGUGCAGGAUGAAGGCCUUCGGGUUGUAAACGGCUUUUGUACGGAACGAAAAGCCCCGGGUUAAUACCCUGGGGUCAUGACGGUACCGUAAGAAUAAGCACCGGCUAACUACGUGCCAGCCGCCGCCGUAA
This 498-nucleotide ribosomal RNA is filed under the name uncultured bacterium. RNAcentral describes it as "partial 16S ribosomal RNA". It matches the Rfam family "Bacterial small subunit ribosomal RNA", at positions 30 to 523 of the family's 1533-position model. The record is from RNAcentral.